AAACAAAUAGCUUAAAAAAAGCGUAGCUCUGAAGAUGCUAAGAUAGGUACUCUUUUGUUUG
Molecule: transfer RNA, 61 nt
Filed under: Peronia peronii
Lineage: Eukaryota; Metazoa; Mollusca; Gastropoda; Systellommatophora; Onchidiidae
Description: tRNA-Phe
Source: RNAcentral